ACGGAACAUACGAGUAACGAGAUUAUUAUGNGAAUAACGAUUCGGCACUUCGAGUCAGGGGUUGUACCCGUUACUCAGUAACGAAUACAUACGGUUUGCUAC
Rhagoletis zephyria (snowberry fruit fly) is the source of this 102-nucleotide long non-coding RNA. RefSeq lists it as uncharacterized. Lineage: Eukaryota; Metazoa; Arthropoda; Insecta; Diptera; Tephritidae. The record is from RefSeq and is a predicted model, not a curated record.